UUCACAAGCAGUUAAUUUAGCCUGUUCAUCUUUACCCAUGACAGUCAGCUUAUAUCUCCACUUGAUAAACUGUUUAACUCAAAGUCUCUUGAUCUGUGGAAUGUCUCCCGUUUUUGGACUUUUCUUAAUAAUGGCAACAGCAGCACAUGGUUCUGCAGGCUCAGACAGCACCAAUAAAACACAUUAUGUAGCUCUGGGACGACCUGCGUUUAUACAGCUGAUAAAUGGAACCAGUGGCUAUGAGCUAACGCUACAAAAGGAUGGAACUGUGAUUUUCAGUUUUAGAAAGAACAUUCAUUUUCGAGAAAAUUGGGGAUCUCAGUUUAAUUUUGAUAUGAAUGGCACCUUGAUGAUCACCAAGGCAGAAAGAAACCUUUCUGGCAUUUAUACUUUGGGAGUAUUUAACUUGGAUGGCAUGAAUAUACGAAAAGAAACAUUGAACUUGAUCAUUGAAGUGCCUGUAACCCCCCCAGCUCUGUCUCCACUCUGCCUGCCCCACGGAGAGCUGAGGGUGUCCUGCUCCUCCCCAGUGGGGGAUAAUCCCCAGUACUCCUGGCUUCUGGAUGGUUUGCCCCUGAAUCACUCCAGGCCCGUUUAUGAUGAUGGGAAAGGAGCUGUCAUUCUGGGAAAGAACACGUCCGGAGAGCUCACCUGUACGGCCAAGAAUAACGUCAGUGAGGAAAAGGCCACAGUGAUGCUCCCCAGCUGUGCAGGACUUACACCAGUUGUAAACUGCACCUUGACUAAUGGUACAGAGAUCGCAGUAAGAAUGAAUGCUGCACUGGGCCCUUCUCUGUUAUAUAAUAUGAAAAUAUUCUUCACUGUCAAUGGAAGAGAGACACUGGCUGCUGUUUGUAAUAGUGUCCCAGACAAAAAUAUGGUGAUAAUCAUUCAGUUGAUACAAUGCCAAUGCUUUUGGCAGCACUGGGAACAAUGGUCCUACUUCCAAUAUUGACAGUGGGGGUUUACAGUUACUGCAAGAAGAGACCCCAUGUGCAGGCAGAAGAGAGCAAACCUGACACUGAAGACAUGAUCAACAUGGAUAAGAGAGAGAACACUGUAACAGAGGUGGUGUAUAGAGUUGUCACAAUGUAGUUAAAUUGUUUGUACUGGUGACACACCAAGAUUUAUGUUUAGAAUACAGUGUUAAGGACAGUCCCAGAAAACAGGACAAUAUGAGAAUAGGAACUGCCUUUUUUAUUCUUAAACUAUUUUCUCAUUUUUUAUUUGAUUAUUUGUUCUGGGGAGCUUUUGCAGUUUUUAAAUUACAUGAUUUUGUGUGGUUUUUGCGUGACAGAUUGCUCAUCGUGGUAGAAAAAAAGAAGUUGUAUAUAUUUUACGCUUUCUGCCCCCACCAAAGUAAAACGCCCCCACCGACCUGAGCAGGCUGACGGCCACAGCACGCCGACCCUGUAAUAUGUCCUGUCAGCCACAUGUCCUGCUCUGCCAGCUUAAGGUACAAUGACCCACGUAGCACACUUGGUGGAAAGCGCUACUGGCUGGACUCAGCAGACUGUCUGUAGAGCAGUGAGAGGCAGAGGAACACAGCUGGCUGAGCUGCCCAGUGCCGGUGCUCUCUGGGCUCCUACUGACCGCUGAUGUGGCCUGGGGGAGAUCAAACUGGGAUCCCGGCUGUAGGCCCCUGCUUUGCUGUACCUGCCAAUGGGGAAACCCCCUGGUUUUAAAUGUAUAUUUUAUACAGUACUGUGCAAAAGUCUUAUAGGCAGUCCAAAGAAAUGUUUAAAGCUGUUUAUCUGGGUAGCAAGUGU
This is a non-coding RNA of Paramormyrops kingsleyae, 1769 nucleotides long. NCBI's taxonomy places the organism in Eukaryota, Metazoa, Chordata, Actinopteri, Osteoglossiformes, Mormyridae. The record is from RefSeq and is a predicted model, not a curated record.